RNAcentral lists this ribosomal RNA (440 nucleotides) under uncultured bacterium. RNAcentral's name for it is "partial 16S ribosomal RNA". It matches the Rfam family "Bacterial small subunit ribosomal RNA", at positions 338 to 795 of the family's 1533-position model. The record is from RNAcentral.
CCUACGGGUGGCAGCAGUGGGGGAUAUUGCACAAUGGGGGAAACCCUGAUGCAGCGACGCCGCGUGGGUGAAGAAGCGCCUCGGCGCGUAAAGCCCUGUCAGCAGGGAAGAAAAUGACGGUACCUGAAGAAGAAGCCCCGGCUAACUACGUGCCAGCAGCCGCGGUAAUACGUAGGGGGCAAGCGUUAUCCGGAAUUACUGGGUGUAAAGGGAGCGUAGACGGCUGUGCAAGUCUGGAGUGAAAGGCGGGGGCCCAACCCCCGGACUGCUCUGGAAACUGUAUGGCUGGAGUGCAGGAGAGGUAAGCGGAAUUCCUAGUGUAGCGGUGAAAUGCGUAGAUAUUAGGAGGAACACCAGUGGCGAAGGCGGCUUACUGGACUGUAACUGACGUUGAGGCUCGAAAGCGUGGGGAGCAAACAGGAUUAGAUACCCCUGUAGUC